Molecule: small RNA, 612 nt
Filed under: Pongo abelii (Sumatran orangutan)
Lineage: Eukaryota; Metazoa; Chordata; Mammalia; Primates; Hominidae
Description: processed transcript
Source: RNAcentral
AGAAGCUGGAAUUCUAUCUCCACAUCCAUUUUGCCAUCUAUCUUUUGAAGUACUCUGUCGGGAGACCGGUGGGUUUACCUGGUGAUGCGGGUGGGUCUGAGUGGUGUGUUAAGGAACAGUGUUUGCUGUCAUUGUCUGCAUGGGCAUGGAUUUCAUAUGUGGCUGUGCUGUCAUAAUGCUUACAAGGUACAGGCAUCCUCUGUCCUGGACAAAGAGGAGCUGGAUGAAAAGAUUUCCUACUUCAAAACCUACCUGGAGACCAAAGGGGCAGCCUUGAGCCAGACCACAGAGUUUCUUCCUUUCUAUGCCCUUCCUUUUGUUCCCAACCCUAUGGUGCACCCCUCAUUUAAAGAACUCUUCCAGGAUUCUUGGACUCCAGAGUUAAAGAUGAAGUUGGAAAAGUUUCUAGCUUUAAUAUUUAAAGCCAGCAACACGCCAAAGCUUUUCACAAUAUAUAAGGAGAAUGGACAAAGUAACAAAGAAAUGUUGCAGCAGCUCCACCAGCAGCUGGUUGAAGCUGAACGUAGGUCAAUGACAUACCUCAAACGGUACAAUAAGAUCCAGGCCGACUACCACAAUCUCAUUGGAGUCACAGCAGAGCUGGUGGAUUCU